CACGUAGGGCGCAAGCGUUGUCCGGAAUUAUUGGGCGUAAAGAGCUUGUAGGCGGUUUGUCGCGUCUGCCGUGAAAAUCCGGGGCUCAACUCCGGAUCUGCGGUGGGUACGGGCAGACUAGAGUGAUGUAGGGGAGACUGGAAUUCCUGGUGUAGCGGUGAAAUGCGCAGAUAUCAGGAGGAACACCGAUGGCGAAGGCAGGUCUCUGGGCAUUAACUGACGCUGAGGAGCGAAAGCAUGGGGAGCGAACAGG
Molecule: ribosomal RNA, 253 nt
Filed under: uncultured bacterium
Lineage: Bacteria
Description: partial 16S ribosomal RNA
Rfam family: Bacterial small subunit ribosomal RNA
Source: RNAcentral